AUGCGGAGGGGGCAAGCGUUGUUCGGAAUUACUGGGCGUAAAGGGCGCGUAGGCGGAUUAUCAAGUCAGAGGUGAAAGCCCUGGGCUCAACCUGGGAACUGCCUUUGAAACUGAUAGUCUUGAGGCCGGAAGAGGAUGGCGGAAUUCCCAGUGUAGAGGUGAAAUUCGUAGAUAUUGGGAAGAACACCAGUGGCGAAGGCGGCCAUCUGGUCCGGUUCUGACGCUGAGGCGCGAAAGCGUGGGGAGCAAACAGGAUUAGAAACCCCGGUAGUCC
Molecule: ribosomal RNA, 274 nt
Filed under: uncultured bacterium
Lineage: Bacteria
Description: partial 16S ribosomal RNA
Rfam family: Bacterial small subunit ribosomal RNA
Source: RNAcentral